Molecule: ribosomal RNA, 253 nt
Filed under: uncultured bacterium
Lineage: Bacteria
Description: partial 16S ribosomal RNA
Rfam family: Bacterial small subunit ribosomal RNA
Source: RNAcentral
UACAGAGGGUGCGAGCGUUAAUCGGAAUUACUGGGCGUAAAGCGUGCGUAGACGGUUUUGUAAGUCGGAUGUGAAAUCCCCGGGCUCAACCUGGGAAUUGCAUUCGAGACUGCAAGGCUUGGGUGCGGAAGAGGGAAGCGGAAUUUCCGGUGUAGCGGUGAAAUGCGUAGAUAUCGGAAGGAACACCAGUGGCGAAAGCGGCUUCCUGGUCCGACACCGACGUUCAGGCACGAAAGCGUGGGGAGCAAACAGG